RNAcentral lists this unclassified non-coding RNA (222 nucleotides) under Hevea brasiliensis (rubber tree). Lineage: Eukaryota; Viridiplantae; Streptophyta; Magnoliopsida; Malpighiales; Euphorbiaceae. The record is from RNAcentral.
UUUAGAUGAGGAGAUGACUGCCCAUAUUGGAGAUUUUGGCCUGGCUAAGAUUGUCUCAUCAAUUUCUGGUGAGGUCCAUCAGUAUCAAAGCAGUUCUACAGCAAUCAAGGGAUCUAUUGGCUAUGUUGCUCCAGAGUAUGGCAUGGGUGACCCAGUUUCUACAGAAGGAGAUGUAUAUAGUUAUGGGAUUUUGUUAUUGGAGAUGUUUACAGGAAAGAAACC